This 498-nucleotide ribosomal RNA is filed under the name uncultured bacterium. RNAcentral describes it as "partial 16S ribosomal RNA". It matches the Rfam family "Bacterial small subunit ribosomal RNA", at positions 30 to 523 of the family's 1533-position model. The record is from RNAcentral.
AUUGAACGCUGGCGGCAUGCCUUACACAUGCAAGUCGAACGGUAACAGGUCUUCGGAUGCUGACGAGUGGCGAACGGGUGAGUAAUACAUCGGAACGUGCCUAGUAGUGGGGGACAACUACUCGAAAGAGUGGCUAAUACCGCAUGAGAUCUACGGAUGAAAGCAGGGGAUCGCAAGACCUUGUGCUAGUAGAGCGGCCGAUGGCAGAUUAGGUAGUUGGUGGGAUAAAAGCUUACCAAGCCGACGAUCUGUAGCUGGUCUGAGAGGACGAUCAGCCACACUGGGACUGAGACACGGCCCAGACUCCUACGGGAGGCAGCAGUGGGGAAUUUUGGACAAUGGGCGAAAGCCUGAUCCAGCAAUGCCGCGUGCAGGAUGAAGGCCUUCGGGUUGUAAACUGCUUUUGUACGGAACGAAAAGCCCCGGGUUAAUACCCUGGGGUCAUGACGGUACCGUAAGAAUAAGCACCGGCUAACUACGUGCCAGCCGCCGCAGUAA